RNAcentral lists this ribosomal RNA (467 nucleotides) under uncultured bacterium. RNAcentral's name for it is "partial 16S ribosomal RNA". It matches the Rfam family "Bacterial small subunit ribosomal RNA", at positions 29 to 507 of the family's 1533-position model. The record is from RNAcentral.
AUGAACGCUGGCGGCGUGCUUAACCCCUGCCAGUCGAACGGUGAAGGCGGAGCUUGCUCUGCUGGAUCAGUGGCGAACGGGUGAGUAACACGUGAGCAAUCUGCCCCUGACUCUGGGAUAAGCGCUGGAAACGGCGUCUAAUACUGGAUACGAGCUGCGAAGGCAUCUUCAGCAGCUGGGAAGAAUUUCGGUCAGGGAUGAGCUCGCGGCCUAUCAGCUUGUUGGUGAGGUAAUGGCUCACCAAGGCGUCGACGGGUAGCCGGCCUGAGAGGGUGACCGGCCACACUGGGACUGAGACACGGCCCAGACUCCUACGGGAGGCAGCAGUGGGGAAUAUUGCACAAUGGGCGAAAGCCUGAUGCAGCAACGCCGCGUGAGGGACGACGGCCUUCGGGUUGUAAACCUCUUUUAGCAGGGAAGAAGCGAAAGUGACGGUACCUGCAGAAAAAGCGCCGGCUAACUACGUG